CUAGUUUCACUCUAUCAUUUUCCGAGUCGUUACAGCCCGUUGUUGCGAUGAUUCAUGAUAACUCGAUGGAUCGCACGGCCAUCGUGCCGGCGACACAUCAUUCAAAUUUCUGCCCUAUCAACUUUCGAUGGUAGGAUAGUGGCAUGCCAUGGUUGUGAUGGGUGACGGAUAAUUAGGGUUCGAUUCCGGAGAGGGAGCCUGAGAAACGGCUACCACAUCUAAGAAAGGAAGCAGGCGCGCAUAUUACCCAAUCCUGACACGGGGAGUUAGUCACCAUAAAUAAAUAAUAAUACCGGGCUCUAUGAAUCUGGUAAUUGGAUUGAGUACAUAGCGUUGGAAAAUCUGCGGAUGGGAACUGGAUGGGAAGCGGAUGGG
Molecule: non-coding RNA, 375 nt
Filed under: Solanum tuberosum (potato)
Lineage: Eukaryota; Viridiplantae; Streptophyta; Magnoliopsida; Solanales; Solanaceae
Description: Eukaryotic small subunit ribosomal RNA
Rfam family: Eukaryotic small subunit ribosomal RNA
Source: Rfam by way of RNAcentral